This 368-nucleotide unclassified non-coding RNA is filed under the name Hevea brasiliensis (rubber tree). Lineage: Eukaryota; Viridiplantae; Streptophyta; Magnoliopsida; Malpighiales; Euphorbiaceae. The record is from RNAcentral.
CAAUUUCCCCCAAAUUCUCUGUUUCUGUGUCUAAAGUAUUUUUUGAAGUCUCCAACACCAAAUUUUCAUCCAAAUUUUUUGAUUUUUUUGACGAAGACUUCAAUUUCUCAACAGAUUUAUCUACUCUCGCUAAGGUUUUCUCUGUUUCAGAGCCAAGACAAAGUUCUGUAGUCAACAAACCCACAUUUUUAUCCGCAGUUUUUGGUGUUAUGAAUAGAGACUCGCGUAAAUCAUCACUUGAAGCUAAUUCUCUAUCCAUAAUCCAAGUGUUCAAGGAUUCGCAGCCAAUUACAUCAUCCUCAUGAGCUCGAUCAACAACAGGAGAUGAAAGCGAACCUGAAUCGAUUGCAAUCCUAUCCGUCAAUUCC